This 1540-nucleotide ribosomal RNA is filed under the name uncultured Escherichia sp. Its description in RNAcentral is "16S ribosomal RNA". It matches the Rfam family "Bacterial small subunit ribosomal RNA". The record is from RNAcentral. Lineage: Bacteria; Pseudomonadati; Pseudomonadota; Gammaproteobacteria; Enterobacterales; Enterobacteriaceae.
UUAGAGUUUGAUAGUGGCUCAGAUUGAACGCUGGCGGCAGGCCUAACACAUGCAAGUCGAACGGUAACAGGAAGCAGCUUGCUGCUUCGCUGACGAGUGGCGGACGGGUGAGUAAUGUCUGGGAAACUGCCUGAUGGAGGGGGAUAACUACUGGAAACGGUAGCUAAUACCGCAUAACGUCGCAAGACCAAAGAGGGGGACCUUCGGGCCUCUUGCCAUCGGAUGUGCCCAGAUGGGAUUAGCUAGUAGGUGGGGUAACGGCUCACCUAGGCGACGAUCCCUAGCUGGUCUGAGAGGAUGACCAGCCACACUGGAACUGAGACACGGUCCAGACUCCUACGGGAGGCAGCAGUGGGGAAUAUUGCACAAUGGGCGCAAGCCUGAUGCAGCCAUGCCGCGUGUAUGAAGAAGGCCUUCGGGUUGUAAAGUACUUUCAGCGGGGAGGAAGGGAGUAAAGUUAAUACCUUUGCUCAUUGACGUUACCCGCAGAAGAAGCACCGGCUAACUCCGUGCCAGCAGCCGCGGUAAUACGGAGGGUGCAAGCGUUAAUCGGAAUUACUGGGCGUAAAGCGCACGCAGGCGGUUUGUUAAGUCAGAUGUGAAAUCCCCGGGCUCAACCUGGGAACUGCAUCUGAUACUGGCAAGCUUGAGUCUCGUAGAGGGGGGGUAGAAUUCUAGGUGUAGCGGUGAAAUGCGUAGAGAUCUGGAGGAAUACCGGUGGCGAAGGCGGCCCCCUGGACGAAGACUGACGCUCAGGUGCGAAAGCGUGGGGGAGCAAACAGGAUUAGAUACCCUGGUAGUCCACGCCGUAAACGAUGUCGACUUGGAGGUUGUGCCCUUGAGGCGUGGCUUCCGGAGCUAACGCGUUAAGUCGACCGCCUGGGGGAGUACGGCCGCAAGGUUAAAACUCAAAUGAAUUGACGGGGGCCCGCACAAGCGGUGGAGCAUGUGGUUUAAUUCGAUGCAACGCGAAGAACCUUACCUGGUCUUGACAUCCACAGAACUUUCCAGAGAUGGAUUGGUGCCUUCGGGAACUGUGAGACAGGUGCUGCAUGGCUGUCGUCAGCUCGUGUUGUGAAAUGUUGGGUUAAGUCCCGCAACGAGCGCAACCCUUAUCCUUUGUUGCCAGCGGUCCGGCCGGGAACUCAAAGGAGACUGCCAGUGAUAAACUGGAGGAAGGUGGGGAUGACGUCAAGUCAUCAUGGCCCUUACGACCAGGGCUACACACGUGCUACAAUGGCGCAUACAAAGAGAAGCGACCUCGCGAGAGCAAGCGGACCUCAUAAAGUGCGUCGUAGUCCGGAUUGGAGUCUGCAACUCGACUCCAUGAAGUCGGAAUCGCUAGUAAUCGUGGAUCAGAAUGCCACGGUGAAUACGUUCCCGGGCCUUGUACACACCGCCCGUCACACCAUGGGAGUGGGUUGCAAAAGAAGUAGGUAGCUUAACCUUCGGGAGGGCGCUUACCACUUUGUGAUUCAUGACUGGGGUGAAGUCGUAACAAGGUAACCGUAGGGGAACCUGCGGUUGGAUCACCUCCUUU